UACGGGGGGGGUAAGCGUUGUUCGGAAUUACUGGGCGUAAAGGGCUCGUAGGCGGCCAACUAAGUCAGACGUGAAAUCCCUCAGCUUAACUGGGGAACUGCGUCUGAUACUGGAUGGCUUGAGUUUGGGAGAGGGAUGCGGAAUUCCAGGUGUAGCGGUGAAAUGCGUAGAUAUCUGGAGGAACACCGGUGGCGAAGGCGGCAUCCUGGACCAACACUGACACUGAUGAGCGAAAGCCAGGGGAGCAAACAGG
RNAcentral lists this ribosomal RNA (253 nucleotides) under uncultured bacterium. RNAcentral describes it as "partial 16S ribosomal RNA". It matches the Rfam family "Bacterial small subunit ribosomal RNA", at positions 524 to 776 of the family's 1533-position model. The record is from RNAcentral.